GUCUUCGUAGGUGAACCUGCGGAGGGAUCAUUUAUUCGGUUGCAUUAGCCAGACGAUCUUCGGAUUGUUAUGCAACCACUGACAUUGUCAGAAGGUCAACAGAAGAAAUCUCCGUCUGAUGUUAGGACCUGACUGGUAGGAGAACAUAAAACAAAAGAUGUUGAAGUCGAUCACAUUUCGAUGUGGCAAUAUCUUCUCACACUUUGGUGUGUUUUGAGGAGUAUCAGAAUAAUCCGUUCUGGUGCGCUUGACUCAUCGACUAGGAGAGAUGCUUUGCGAUGGAUGACUAGGGUCUUGUAUCGAUGAAGAACGCGGUUAAACGUGACAUUUAAUGUGACUUGCAACUCCCGUGAAUCAUCAAGAUUUUGAACACAUACGGAACUCUUGCUGCUUUCGAGUAGCAAGGGUACUUGCUUGUGAGUGUCAGUAUCUCAUUCAUAUUAGCUUUGGGAGGUCUUUCAUCCAAUUGAUUUGGAUUUAAGAACCCUCAGCUAUCAUCAAUCUUAGGAUUGGGUACUUGAAGAUCUCUGAUCUUUCGAAUACUGAAUUUUCUGACCUCAUUUGCGAGUGGUUACCCACUGAAUUUAAGCAUAUCAGUAAGCGG
Molecule: ribosomal RNA, 604 nt
Filed under: Tetramitus dokdoensis
Lineage: Eukaryota; Heterolobosea; Eutetramitea; Acrasida; Vahlkampfiidae
Description: eukaryotic LSU rRNA
Rfam family: 5.8S ribosomal RNA (bases 268-426)
Source: RNAcentral